Molecule: long non-coding RNA, 965 nt
Organism: Bombyx mori (domestic silkworm)
Lineage: Eukaryota; Metazoa; Arthropoda; Insecta; Lepidoptera; Bombycidae
Exons: 4
Source: RefSeq, a predicted model, not a curated record
GCUUAUUGGGACGAAUACAUGCUUGCGGUACUUGUCGAUUUUUGUUAUAAAAUAAAAGCCUCAGAUGGCUAUUGUUAUGUUACCCGUCACAUACUUACUUUUACAAAUUUAAAAAUGUUUUCUUAUUGAGCUAGAAUUAGCUAGCAAGAAAAUCUAGAAAAAAAUAGUAGAAGAACUAUUGGGCUUUUAUUGGUUCGCUUAAGAACAUGGUAAUUCGCUCAGAUUUAUGGGUAUUUAUUGAAUUUAUUAUGGAUAAUUUUGUUUUAAAUGAAAUUGUAAAAUGGUAGUAAAUAAUAGUUUUGCAUAUUUGAUAUAUUGCAUAUACAGCCGCACGAGAAGAAAAGUGGUCAAAAUACUUACAUCACUAUGUGGUAAAAUCCCGAAGUAAAAAAAAACCAGAAGAGAUAAAAGAAAAAAACGUGGGAAGAAGAGAUUAAGAAAACUUCGAGCACUAUGAAGAAUAAAAGCUGCGAACAGAAAACUAAGGCAAACUCCUCUUGUAUUAGGAUCGAAUUCGUCGUACACGAGCCGCACUUGACUAACAUGACGUGAUAGCAGUACAACUACUAAGAUAUUCUGAGAAGCAAGAUCCGCGGCCGACGCUCUAUUAUUAAAUAGACUAAGGAUCAGCAUACUGCGACUAAUAACCCAGAACCGAUAGCUGAUGGAGCAGACUACUCGAAAGGAUACCUGCAAGCACAAUAAAAUGCAUUUUAUCCAGUGGAUACAAGAUUGAAAUCGAUACCCGGACUGAGCUCACAGAUGACCACAGCUGGACAUAGGCCUCCCCAAGCUUCGCCAUAACGACCGAUCCUGCUCUUCGAGCGAGUCCAACGGACUCCCUUCCUUGACCUUGUGACCUUCAGUAGGUGGACACCUCGUGAGCGGCCAAACCAUGCUUCUUCCGGUACGCGGUCUCUAUUCGAGAAUUUUUCGGCCCGAGCGCCCAUAUAUAUCCUAUCAAC